AGUAUUCCUACGAUGCCCUGGAGAAGAAGCAGUUUCUCCCCGUGGCCUUUCCUGUGGGAAACGCCUUCUCAUACUAUCAGAGCAACAGAGGCUUCCAGGAAGACUCAGAGAUCCGAGCUGCUGAGAAGAAAUUUGGGAGCAACAAGGCCGAGAUGGUGGUACCUGACUUCUCGGAGCUUUUCAAGGAGAGAGCCACAGCCCCCUUCUUUGUAUUUCAGGUGUUCUGUGUGGGGCUCUGGUGCCUGGAUGAGUACUGGUACUACAGCGUCUUCACGCUAUCCAUGCUGGUGGCAUUCGAGGCCUCGCUGGUGCAGCAGCAGAUGCGGAACAUGUCGGAGAUCCGGAAGAUGGGCAACAAGCCCCACAUGAUCCAGGUGUGGCUGCCGGGGAGACCCAGGUGGGGGUUGCGGCACAGGUGCAGCUUCUGUGCUGACACCCAUGCCCCACCCAGGUCUACCGAAGCCGCAAGUGGAGGCCCGUUG
This 482-nucleotide small RNA is filed under the name Pongo abelii (Sumatran orangutan). Its description in RNAcentral is "retained intron". Lineage: Eukaryota; Metazoa; Chordata; Mammalia; Primates; Hominidae. The record is from RNAcentral.